This 439-nucleotide ribosomal RNA is filed under the name uncultured bacterium. RNAcentral describes it as "partial 16S ribosomal RNA". It matches the Rfam family "Bacterial small subunit ribosomal RNA", at positions 339 to 795 of the family's 1533-position model. The record is from RNAcentral.
CUACGGGGUGCUGCAGUGAGGAAUAUUGCACAAUGGAGGAAACUCUGAUGCAGCAACGCCGCGUGGAGGAUGACGCAUUUCGGUGUGUAAACUCCUUUUAUAUGUCAAGAAAAUGACGGUAGCAUAUGAAUAAGCUCCGGCUAACUCCGUGCCAGCAGCCGCGGUAAUACGGAGGGUGCAAGCGUUACUCGGAAUCACUGGGCGUAAAGGACGCGUAGGCGGGAUAGAAAGUCAGGUGUGAAAUCCUAUGGCUCAACCAUAGAACUGCACUUGAAACUUCUAACCUAGAGUAUGGGAGGGGAAGAUGGAAUUAGUGGUGUAGGGGUAAAAUCCGUAGAUAUCACUAGGAAUACCAAUGGCGAAGGCGAUCUCCUGGAACAUUACUGACGCUAAGGCGUGAAAGCGUGGGGAGCAAACAGGAUUAGAUACCCGCGUAGUC